Molecule: unclassified non-coding RNA, 380 nt
Filed under: Zea mays
Lineage: Eukaryota; Viridiplantae; Streptophyta; Magnoliopsida; Poales; Poaceae
Description: misc RNA Zm00001eb090950
Source: RNAcentral
CGUGUUCCACCGGACUAGGUCUCUCUCAACCUUCUCAAGUGAUUCAAUGAUCAAGUAACAAGCAUUAAUGGCUCUCCCGCGUCCUUUUCCCUCCCCUCCCGACGCCUGCGCUCCCCAAAACCUCACACCUGUGCCCACUCUAGGCCCGGUGGCCACCUCCCGAGGGUUCGCCGCCGCCCUCUCCUCUUCACCUUCCCCUGCACUGCAGGCGUCAGCUUCUGCGUCCAUUUCCCUUCCGUCACCUUCUCCUUCUCAGUGUGCGGCGCAGGCCAAGUCUGGAGGGAGGUCCAAGUUCGAGCGUUGGCGAGCUGACAGCUCCGCUGGUGGUAGCUCGCUUGGCCCUGUCGGCGGUGUUACCUCUAGGCCUUCCUUCCGCGACG